Molecule: long non-coding RNA, 490 nt
Organism: Capsicum annuum
Lineage: Eukaryota; Viridiplantae; Streptophyta; Magnoliopsida; Solanales; Solanaceae
Exons: 3
Source: RefSeq, a predicted model, not a curated record
CACCCCCUAAUUUUCCUCAACUCCCUCAACUUCCCCUCCUAAAUUUCUAUGUAACACUACACACACAGACGAGAGGGAGGGAGAACAUUUUGUGAUGAAAAAGAAAAAUGUAGUGAAAACAUAUGCAUGCAUUACAAAAGAGAAGGACACAAAACAGAAAAAAAAAAAAUUAGCACAUACACGACACAUACAAGCCAAACACUUAGAAAAUUAGGAAAAGGAAAACAAGAAAAAACAUCAUUGGAGAAGUUUAAAUAGAAAAGGGAAAGAAAAAAAAGAGUGAGUUUGAGAUCGAGGCUUGUUGAGUUUCCGGUUCUUGAUUUGAUGACCAGUUAUCUCUUUCACUUUAAUUUAGGCCAAGCAAAGGAGAAUCGACUGCUGCAAGUACUACUGAUGUCAAAGGUGCUCUAUAUGUACAUCCCUGGAAUAGCUCCGGAUGAUGCUAGUUCCUAUUCAUUUUGAUGGAGCAGGAUAUCAAUCUUGGAAGAGA